AGCAUGUGGUUUAAUUCGAUGCAACGCGAAGAACCUUACCUGGUCUUGACAUCCACAGAACCUUGUAGAGAUACGAGGGUGCCUUCGGGAACUGUGAGACAGGUGCUGCAUGGCUGUCGUCAGCUCGUGUUGUGAAAUGUUGGGUUAAGUCCCGCAACGAGCGCAACCCUUAUCCUUUGUUGCCAGCGGUCCGGCCGGGAACUCAAAGGAGACUGCCAGUGAUAAACUGGAGGAAGGUGGGGAUGACGUCAAGUCAUCAUGGCCCUUACGACCAGGGCUACACACGUGCUACAAUGGCGCAUACAAAGAGAAGCGACCUCGCGAGAGCAAGCGGACCUCAUAAAGUGCGUCGUAGUCCGGAUUGGAGUCUGCAACUCGACUCCAUGAAGUCGGAAUCGCUAGUAAUCGUGGAUCAGAAUGCCACGGUGAAUACGUUCCCGGGCCUUGUACACACCGCCCGUCACACCAUGGGAGUGGGUUGCAAAAGAAGUAGGUAGCUUAACCUUCGGGAGGGCGCUUACCACUUUGUGAUUCAUGACUGGGGUGAAGUCGUAACAAGGUAACCGUAGGGGAACCUGCGGUUGGAUCACCUCCUUACCUUAAAGAAGC
Molecule: ribosomal RNA, 609 nt
Filed under: Escherichia coli
Lineage: Bacteria; Pseudomonadati; Pseudomonadota; Gammaproteobacteria; Enterobacterales; Enterobacteriaceae
Description: bacterial SSU rRNA
Rfam family: Bacterial small subunit ribosomal RNA
Source: RNAcentral